CCUACGGGCGGCUGCAGUGGGGAAUAUUGGACAAUGGGCGAAAGCCUGAUCCAGCCAUGCCGCGUGUGUGAAGAAGGCCUUCGGGUUGUAAAGCACUUUCAGUGGGGAAGAAAGCCUUGGGGCUAAUACCCUCGAGGAAGGACAUCACCCACAGAAGAAGCCCCGGCUAACUCCGUGCCAGCAGCCGCGGUAAUACGGAGGGUGCGAGCGUUAAUCGGAAUUACUGGGCGUAAAGCGCGCGUAGGCGGUCUGAUAAGCCGGUUGUGAAAGCCCCGGGCUCAACCUGGGAACGGCAUCCGGAACUGUCAGGCUAGAGUGCAGGAGAGGAAGGUAGAAUUCCCGGUGUAGCGGUGAAAUGCGUAGAGAUCGGGAGGAAUACCAGUGGCGAAGGCGGCCUUCUGGACUGACACUGACGCUGAGGUGCGAAAGCGUGGGUAGCAAACAGGAUUAGAUACCCUGGUAGUC
Molecule: ribosomal RNA, 465 nt
Filed under: Vreelandella stevensii
Lineage: Bacteria; Pseudomonadati; Pseudomonadota; Gammaproteobacteria; Oceanospirillales; Halomonadaceae
Description: partial 16S ribosomal RNA
Rfam family: Bacterial small subunit ribosomal RNA
Source: RNAcentral